CCUACGGGGUGCAGCAGUGGGGAAUAUUGCACAAUGGGGGAAACCCUGAUGCAGCGACGCCGCGUGAGUGAAGAAGUAUUUCGGUAUGUAAAGCUCUAUCAGCAGGGAAGAAGAAAGACGGUACCUGACUAAGAAGCCCCGGCUAACUCCGUGCCAGCAGCCGCGGUAAUACGGAGGAUGCGAGCGUUAUCCGGAGUGAUUGGGUUUAAAGGGUGCGCAGGCGGAUUUUUAAGUCUGCGGUCAAAUCGUGGGGCUCAACCCCAUCCAGCCGUUGAAACUGGGGAUCUAGAGUGUGCGAGAGGUAUGCGGAAUGCGUGGUGUAGCGGUGAAAUGCAUAGAUAUCACGCAGAACCCCGAUUGCGAAGGCAGCAUACCGGUGCACAACUGACGCUCAGGCACGAAAGCGUGGGUAUCGAACAGGAUUAGAUACCCCUGUAGUC
This 440-nucleotide ribosomal RNA is filed under the name uncultured bacterium. RNAcentral describes it as "partial 16S ribosomal RNA". It matches the Rfam family "Bacterial small subunit ribosomal RNA", at positions 338 to 795 of the family's 1533-position model. The record is from RNAcentral.